Molecule: long non-coding RNA, 589 nt
Organism: Oncorhynchus masou masou (cherry salmon)
Lineage: Eukaryota; Metazoa; Chordata; Actinopteri; Salmoniformes; Salmonidae
Exons: 3
Source: RefSeq, a predicted model, not a curated record
AUGCAGACUACUGGGUCCCAGGAUUAAGCACCGCACUGCACGGAGCCAUGCACUGAGUGUGGAGCAAAUGGUUUGUGUGGCCUUGCGCUUUUUUGCUAGUGGAGCCUUCCUGUACUCAGUGGGGGAUGCAGAACAGCUGAACAAGGCCACAAUUUGCCACACAAUAAGGAGUGUGUGUCUGGCUAUCAAAGCAUUAGCAGAUGUCUUCAGCUCCUUCCCUGGCCACAGAAGACUCUGUGACAUCAAAGAGGAGUUCUAUAGGAUUGCAGAUGGUCUGCAAUGCUGACUGUGUGAUCAGCAAUGUUGUGGCAAAAUGGCCUGGCUCAGUCCAUGACUCCAGAAUCUUUCGGGCCUCUGAAAUCUAUCAGUGCCUAUCACAAGGUGAAUUCUCUGGUGUGUUGCUGGGAGACAGGGGGUAUGGCUGCCAGCCUUUUCUCCUGACACCUUUCACAGACCCCCAGGAAGCACAGCAGGCCUACAACCAUGCCCAUGCCAGGACCAGGGCCAGAGUUGAAAUGACCUUUGGCCUCCUGAAGGCACGCUUUCACUGCCUUCACAAAUUAAGGGUCAGCCCUGUUAGGGCAUGUGA